GACGAACGCUGGCGGCGUGCUUAACACAUGCAAGUCGAACGAAGUGGCGAACGGGUGAGUAACGCGUACUCAACCUGCACUUCCGAGGGGGACAACAGUUGGAAACGAAUGCUAAUACUGCAUACUGAAGGAGGGGAUUGCGUAUGAUUAGGUAGUUGGAGGGGUAACGGCCCACCAAGGAGAUGAUCAGUAUCCGGUCUGAGAGGGUGAACGGCCACAUGGGGACUGAUGCACGGCCCAGACUCCUACGGGAGGCAGCAGUGGGGAAUCUUCCGCAAUGGAGGAAAGUCUGACGGAGCAACGCCGCGGGAGUGAUGAGGGCCUUCGGGUUGUAAAGCUCUGUUAAUCGGGACGCGGUACCGGAAUAGAAAGCCACGGCGAACUACGGGCCAGCAGCCGCGGUAAUUC
RNAcentral lists this ribosomal RNA (408 nucleotides) under uncultured bacterium. Its description in RNAcentral is "partial 16S ribosomal RNA". It matches the Rfam family "Bacterial small subunit ribosomal RNA", at positions 28 to 526 of the family's 1533-position model. The record is from RNAcentral.